Molecule: ribosomal RNA, 933 nt
Filed under: uncultured bacterium
Lineage: Bacteria
Description: bacterial SSU rRNA
Rfam family: Bacterial small subunit ribosomal RNA
Source: RNAcentral
UGGGUUUAAAGGGAGCGUAGAUGAAUGUUUUAAGUCAGUUGUGAAAGUUUGCGGCUCAACCGUAAAAUUGCAGUUGAUACUGGAUAUCUUGAGUGCAGUUGAGGCAGGCGGAAUUCGUGGUGUAGCGGUGAAAUGCUUAGAUAUCACGAAGAACUCCGAUUGCGAAGGCAGCCUGCUAAGCUGCAACUGACAUUGAGGCUCGAAAGUGUGGGUAUCAAACAGGAUUAGAUACCCUGGUAGUCCACACGGUAAACGAUGAAUACUCGCUGUUUGCGAUAUACUGCAAGCGGCCAAGCGAAAGCGUUAAGUAUUCCACCUGGGGAGUACGCCGGCAACGGUGAAACUCAAAGGAAUUGACGGGGGCCCGCACAAGCGGAGGAACAUGUGGUUUAAUUCGAUGAUACGCGAGGAACCUUACCCGGGCUUAAAUUGCAGAUGAAUUACGGUGAAAGCCGUAAGCCGCAAGGCAUCUGUGAAGGUGCUGCAUGGUUGUCGUCAGCUCGUGCCGUGAGGUGUCGGCUUAAGUGCCAUAACGAGCGCAACCCUUGUUGUCAGUUACUAACAGGUUCCGCUGAGGACUCUGACAAGACUGCCAUCGUAAGAUGUGAGGAAGGUGGGGAUGACGUCAAAUCAGCACGGCCCUUACGUCCGGGGCUACACACGUGUUACAAUGGGGGGUACAGAGGGCCGCUACCACGCGAGUGGAUGCCAAUCCCCAAAACCUCUCUCAGUUCGGACUGGAGUCUGCAACCCGACUCCACGAAGCUGGAUUCGCUAGUAAUCGCGCAUCAGCCACGGCGCGGUGAAUACGUUCCCGGGUUUUGUACACACCGCCCGUCAAGCCAUGGGAGCCGGGGGUACCUGAAGUGCGUAACCGCGAGGAGCGCCCUAGGGUAAAACUGGUGACUGGGGCUAAGUCGUAACAAGGUAGCC